UGCCUGAAUGAGCUGAAAUCGGCGUUGA
RNAcentral lists this small RNA (28 nucleotides) under Bombyx mori (domestic silkworm). Its description in RNAcentral is "ovarian small RNA-1551". The record is from RNAcentral. Lineage: Eukaryota; Metazoa; Arthropoda; Insecta; Lepidoptera; Bombycidae.